RNAcentral lists this long non-coding RNA (476 nucleotides) under Mus pahari (shrew mouse). Its description in RNAcentral is "lncRNA (MGP_PahariEiJ_G0006115.1)". The record is from RNAcentral. Lineage: Eukaryota; Metazoa; Chordata; Mammalia; Rodentia; Muridae.
CUACCAGGUUUGGCCAUUGAACCCUGUGCCCAUGUCACCCUUGGAAGUCACAAGGUAAAGAGCCAGAGCCUUUGUCAGCUAGAAGAAGACACUCUUCUGAAUACUGAAGUCGUGGCUGUGGAUAUGAUGAGAUUCUUCCCUGAGAAGGUUUUUGUUCCAGAAGCUCAACCCUAGGUGGUGAUGUGGAGAGGCAAUGAGGUCACUAAGAGACAGCGCCUCAUGGUAAGUGGGUCACUGAUGGCCCUGCUUCAGAAAAGAUUAGUACUCAUCUCAAGGAAUGCAUCCGUUCUUCCAAGAAUGAGUUGCUAUAAAAGGACCCUGCCUGCUCCUGCGUCCAUUGGCUUCCUAUUUUGCGUUGCAUGUAGGUGUCAUUGUGAUGCCACUCACCAUGAGGUCAUCACUGGAGACUCAAUUAAUAGGCCACUCAGUCUUGGCCUCUUAGAAGCAGAGACUGAGUUAAUAAACACCCUCCUGUA